AAAAAUUAAUGAUAUUUUUUUUAAAAAAAAAAAUCAAAUUUCGACCGCAUGAGGUCGAAAAAAUUAAUUCAAAUCUGAUUUAAUUUUUUCGACCACAUGCAGUCGAAACAGUUCAAUAAAUAAUACACCCACACAGGCCGUUGAAAAUAUUUCAUCUCCCCCCAAAACUUUCUCUUCUCUUUCAAAAAAAUUUACCCUCUCUAAACUCAUCUUCCCGAAAAUUCCCACCACCCCCACCAACAUCUCCCCCCAAAACUGUUUGAUGUUCCUAAAGUGAAACUAUGUGCGCCUAUUUCUGAGUAUGUUUUAGGUGGGUUUGUUGAUUAGCUUGCUAGUGGCUUGUUGAAGGUGGGUUUGUUGAUUAGCUUGUUAAGCAGUCCUUGUUAGCACCGGCGUUCUCCAAAUAGGCGAUGCCGUCCAGUUAAACCACCGGAGUAGUCACCAGCCGCCGCCGACUGAACAGUGAGCUAGGUUGUCAAUUGCCGGAGUUAAGGAAGAUUUGCUAGAUACAAGAAAGUAGCAGCAGAGCUUACUCAACUCGGGGCCCUCUCAUAUUCCCCCGUGUCCCGGGGAUGCUCGUAGGUCACAGCCCAGUAGACGACGUAGGUCACAAGACAACGUAGUUCAUGCUCUUGUUGAUGAGGACAGUGGGGAGGAAUUGGAUCAUGUCUCUAACACCUAACGUUGACUUUUUUGAUUCGUAUACUUUUGGAUUGUAAUAUUGCUAUGUUUUCUUGGAUAUGUAUAUUUUUUUAUGAUAAUUUUAAUUCGAAUUAGAUGUACUUUUGAAGGUGAAUUGAUUGUAGGAAGUAGUUUAUGAAUAUUUUAACUUUACGAUGUUUAAGUGUUUGAAUGUAGAAAGUAGUUUAUGGUUGUUUAACUUUACGAUGUUCAAGUGUUUGAAUGUAGUUUUAAGGAUAUUUAGAAGUACUUUAAAUUGAAACUUGAGGUUGAAUUUGAUUUUAGAAUGUGAAGUUUAUGAUUGUAGAA
This is a long non-coding RNA of Lycium barbarum (goji berry), 990 nucleotides long. RefSeq lists it as uncharacterized. The record is from RefSeq and is a predicted model, not a curated record. The transcript is spliced from 4 exons. NCBI's taxonomy places the organism in Eukaryota, Viridiplantae, Streptophyta, Magnoliopsida, Solanales, Solanaceae.